RNAcentral lists this ribosomal RNA (1959 nucleotides) under Triticum aestivum (bread wheat). RNAcentral's name for it is "partial small subunit ribosomal RNA". Lineage: Eukaryota; Viridiplantae; Streptophyta; Magnoliopsida; Poales; Poaceae. The record is from RNAcentral.
AGCAGCAGCAGCUCCAGUCCACGGCCGCCUCCUCCUCCUCCCCACUACCACCGCCAUGGCCCUCCCUUAGGCUUAGGCUUAUUCUUGGACCCGCGCGCUCGUCGCCAUGGACGCCCUAGGCGCCGCGCUGCCGCGGCUCGCCCUCGCCGACGCCGACGCCGACGCCGGGCCGGACGACGCGUGCGGGAGCCCCUGCUCCGUCGCCAGCGACUGCAGCAGCGUCGCCUCUGCCGACUUCGAGGGCCUCUUCUCCCCCUCCGGCGCCGACGCGGGCCCGCCCUCGCUCCUCUCCGACGACCUGCCCGCGGCCGCCGCCGAGGCCGCCACGGUCCCCGGCGGCGCCUGCAGGAGCGUCUUCGCCCUCGACUCGCCGCCGCUCUGGGGGCUCGAGUCUGUAUGCGGCCGCCGCCCGGAGAUGGAGGACGCCGCCGCCGUCGCCCCGCGAUUCUACCGCGUCCCGCUCUGGAUGGUCGCCGGCGACGGCGCUGCGGUCGACGGCCUCGACCGCGCCUCCUUCCGCCUCCCCGCACACUUCUUCGCCGUCUACGACGGCCACGGCGGUGCCCAGGUCGCCGACUACUGCCGGGACAAGCUCCACGCCACGCUUGUUGAAGAGCUGCGCGCCGCAGAGGACCGUGUCGGCGGCUGCGACGACCUCAGCUCCCUGGACUCCAAGAAACAGUGGGAGAAGGCGUUCGUGGACUGCUUCUGCCGCGUGGACGCCGAGGUCGAGGCGCCGGACAGCGCGGGCUCGACGGCGGUGGCCGCAGUCGUCUGCUCGUCCCACAUCAUCGUCUCCAACUGCGGGGACUCGCGGGCGGUGCUGUGCCGGGGCAAGGCGCCAUUGCCACUCUCUUUAGACCAUAAGCCCAACAGGGAAGACGAGUACGCGAGGAUCGAGGCGCUGGGCGGCAAGGUCAUCCAGUGGAAUGGCUAUCGAGUUCUCGGUGUUCUUGCCAUGUCGCGCUCCAUCGGGGACAGAUACCUGAAACCGUACAUAAUCCCGGUCCCUGAGGUGACGGUCGUUGCCCGCGCGAGAGAGGAUGAGUGCCUCAUCCUCGCAAGCGAUGGCCUCUGGGACGUGUUGUCGAACGAGGAGGUGUGCGACGCCGCUCGCAAGCGAAUCCUACUGUGGCACAAGAAGAACGCUACCGCCUCCUCGUCCAUCUCCCGAGGACGAAGCGGCGGCGAUGGUGGCUCGCCGGAUCCCGCCGCUCAGGCGGCCGCCGAGUACCUAUCCAAGCUUGCCCUCCAGAAGGGGAGCAAGGACAACAUCACCGUCCUUGUGGUCGACCUCAAGGCGCAUAGGAAGUUCAGGAGCAAGACUGACAAUAACAACAGAUAGUUAUAAGCAACCUAUAGGAAGCUCAAGACCAAAACCUGAUGACAGUGACAGUGCAUGUACAAAUUAUUUUUUGUUUCAAAAGUAGUUAGAUUUGAAACAUGAAAAUCAUAUGCACAGAUUUUCUUGGAAAAAGUGCUUUUAGAAUAACAUAAUUGUGUUGAUCCUUGCACAUACACUGCAGUACAAACUAGCAGUUAAGUUAUAUUUUGAAGACCCAUGUCAAUGUUCAAAAUGUCACCUUCUCAUGUCGUCCCCUUGGUGUCCUUAUCUUUCUUCGUCUUGUCGACCUCCUCUCCUGCACCGGCAUGGAGUUGUGGUUGCCUCUAGGACAGUGGAAGGACAGUGCGAUGACAAGCACGGUGUUGAGCAACAUUAAGUUGAUCCACUACAUCAACAGAAGACAACCGUCGGACUAAUCUUCGCUGGCCGCGUGCCUCAGUACUUUGCUUUAUUUCUACACUUCUGCUAGAUGAAUGUGCACUGGGUUGUAAUAUGUUGAUACUUUUUUCUUUUACUUUGCUGUUAGAAUCUCAUGUCUUUAUUAGUUUAAAGUUGGGCACGUUUUGCGUGUUUCUUCUAAAAGAAGUAUUGGGUUUAUUAGAUUCUUUCUCUCC